GGGGAAGAGAUCAUUCACCGUGAAGUUGAGAUUAUGCAGCAUCUCUCUGGGCAUCCAGGUGUUGUGACACUGAAGGCUGUGUAUGAGGAUGCUGAAUCUUUUUAUCUUGUCAUGGAACUUUGCUCAGGAGGAAGGUUGCUUGACCAAAUGGCUAGGGUUGGGCGAUACCCUGAGCAACAAGCUGCUAAUGUGAUCAAAGAGCUCAUGCUGGUUAUCAGAUACUGCCAUGAGAUGGGUGUUGUGCACAGGGACAUAAAGCCUGAAAAUGUCCUCCUUACAACCUCUGGACAAGUUAAGGUUUCAGACUUUGGGCUAGCUGUGAGAAUUUCACAUGGUCAGAGCUUGACUGGAGUAGUUGGAAGUCCAGCUUAUGUUGCUCCUGAGGUUCUGCUAGGUGAU
Molecule: unclassified non-coding RNA, 399 nt
Filed under: Hevea brasiliensis (rubber tree)
Lineage: Eukaryota; Viridiplantae; Streptophyta; Magnoliopsida; Malpighiales; Euphorbiaceae
Source: RNAcentral